UGGGGAAUAUUGGACAAUGGGGGCAACCCUGAUCCAGCGAUGCCGCGUGGGUGAAGAAGGCCUUCGGGUUGUAAAGCCCUUUAGGUUGGGAAGAAGGUUAGUAGAGGAAAUGCUAUUAAUUUGACGGUACCAACAGAAUAAGCACCGGCAAACUCUGUGCCAGCAGCCGCGGUAAUACAGAGGGUGCGAGCGUUAAUCGGAUUUACUGGGCGUAAAGGGCGCGUAGGCGGUGAGAUGUGUGUGAUGUGAAAGCCCCGGGCUCAACCUGGGAAGUGCAUCGCAAACUGUCUGACUGGAGUAUAUGAGAGGGUGGCGGAAUUUCCGGUGUAGCGGUGAAAUGCGUAGAGAUCGGAAGGAACGUCGAUGGCGAAGGCAGCCACCUGGCAUAAUACUGACGCUG
This 400-nucleotide ribosomal RNA is filed under the name uncultured bacterium. RNAcentral describes it as "bacterial SSU rRNA". It matches the Rfam family "Bacterial small subunit ribosomal RNA", at positions 355 to 748 of the family's 1533-position model. The record is from RNAcentral.